GGAUGAAAGGCAAACCUGGCUGUGAUAUCUGUCACCCUGUUGAUCACCAGGGUUAACUCAGCUGACCUGGCUGGUGUAAGCAAAUGUCCCCUCUCCCCCUCAUCUCUCCACAUGCAACCCUCUCAAAGCCACACACUUGGUCAAAAAGGAUGACCAUUCCUAAUGACUGUUCUUCAUAAAUG
Molecule: small nuclear RNA, 182 nt
Filed under: Cricetulus griseus (Chinese hamster)
Lineage: Eukaryota; Metazoa; Chordata; Mammalia; Rodentia; Cricetidae
Description: 7SK RNA
Rfam family: 7SK RNA
About the family: 7SK was discovered as an abundant small nuclear RNA in the mid-70s but a possible function has only recently been suggested. Two independent studies have found that 7SK RNA binds the CDK9/cyclin T complex (known as elongation factor P-TEFb).
Source: Rfam by way of RNAcentral